UACGUAGGGGGCAAGCGUUGUCCGGAUUUAUUGGGCGUAAAGAGCUCGUAGGCGGCUUACCAAGUCGGGUGUGAAACCUCCAGGCUCAACCUGGAGCUGCCACUCGAUACUGGUAUGGCUUGAGUCCGGUAGGGGACCACGGAAUUCCUGGUGUAGCGGUGAAAUGCGCAGAUAUCAGGAGGAACACCGGUGGCGAAGGCGGAUCUCUGGGCCUGUCCUGACGCUGAGGCGCGAAAGCUAGGGGAGCGAACAGG
This 254-nucleotide ribosomal RNA is filed under the name uncultured bacterium. RNAcentral describes it as "partial 16S ribosomal RNA". It matches the Rfam family "Bacterial small subunit ribosomal RNA", at positions 524 to 776 of the family's 1533-position model. The record is from RNAcentral.